RNAcentral lists this non-coding RNA (21 nucleotides) under Caenorhabditis elegans. The record is from RNAcentral. Lineage: Eukaryota; Metazoa; Nematoda; Chromadorea; Rhabditida; Rhabditidae.
UUCGUUUAUUCUUUGCGGUAC